RNAcentral lists this long non-coding RNA (219 nucleotides) under Zostera marina. RNAcentral describes it as "long non-coding RNA (ZMAR_LNC002374)". Lineage: Eukaryota; Viridiplantae; Streptophyta; Magnoliopsida; Alismatales; Zosteraceae. The record is from RNAcentral.
UUCUUGUGCCGCUCCUUCCCACGCUCAAUAAGUCCUCGAUUGAUCUGGCCGAAGCGACAGAUCUAUCGUGCUCAAUGUUUGACAUCUUCUGGCCAAAGCGACAGAAGUGUCGGGAAGAGUUUAUGAUACUCCCCCCCGAGUUUGACGACUUCUGGCCGAAGCGACAGAAGUGUCAGGAAGAGCUUGUGAUACUCCCCCCCGAGUUUGACGACUUCUGGN